RNAcentral lists this ribosomal RNA (376 nucleotides) under uncultured bacterium. RNAcentral's name for it is "bacterial SSU rRNA". It matches the Rfam family "Bacterial small subunit ribosomal RNA", at positions 523 to 898 of the family's 1533-position model. The record is from RNAcentral.
AUACGUAGGGGGCGAGCGUUGUCCGGAAUCAUUGGGCGUAAAGCGCGCGCAGGCGGUCCCUUAAGUCUGAUGUGAAAUCUUGCGGCUCAACCGCAAGGGGUCAUUGGAAACUGGGGGACUUGAGUGCAGGAGAGGGAAGCGGAAUUCCAUGUGUAGCGAUGAAAUGCGUAGAGAUAUGGAGGAACACCAGUGGCGAAGGCGGCUUCCUGGCCUGUAACUGACGCUCAGGCGCGAAAGCGUGGGGAGCAAACAGGAUUAGAUACCCUGGUAGUCCACGCCGUAAGCGAUGAGUGCUAGGUGUUGGAGGGGUUUUCCCUUUAGUGCUGGAGCUAACGCAUUAAGCACUCCGCCUGGGGAGUACGGCCGCAAGGCUGAA